RNAcentral lists this ribosomal RNA (253 nucleotides) under uncultured bacterium. RNAcentral describes it as "partial 16S ribosomal RNA". It matches the Rfam family "Bacterial small subunit ribosomal RNA", at positions 524 to 776 of the family's 1533-position model. The record is from RNAcentral.
UACGGGGGGGGUAAGCGUUGUUCGGAAUUACUGGGCGUAAAGGGCUCGUAGGCGGCCAACUAAGUCGGACGUGAAAUCCCUCGGCUCAACCGGGGAACUGCGUCCGAUACUGGAUGGCUUGAGUUCGGGAGAGGGAUGCGGAAUUCCAGGUGUAGCGGUGAAAUGCGUAGAUAUCUGGAGGAACACCGGUGGCGAAGGCGGCAUCCUGGACCGACACUGACGCUGAGGAGCGAAAGCCAGGGGAGCAAACGGG